Molecule: ribosomal RNA, 500 nt
Filed under: uncultured bacterium
Lineage: Bacteria
Description: partial 16S ribosomal RNA
Rfam family: Bacterial small subunit ribosomal RNA
Source: RNAcentral
AUUGAACGCUGGCGGAAUGCUUUACACAUGCAAGUCGAACGGCAGCACGGACUUCGGUCUGGUGGCGAGUGGCGAACGGGUGAGUAAUAUAUCGGAACGUGCCCAGUCGUGGGGGAUAACGUAGUGAAAAUUACGCUAAUACCGCAUACGAUCUAUGGAUGAAAGCGGGGGAUCGCAAGACCUCGCGCGAUUGGAGCGGCCGAUAUCAGAUUAGGUAGUUGGUGAGGUAAAGGCUCACCAAGCCGACGAUCUGUAGCUGGUCUGAGAGGACGACCAGCCACACUGGAACUGAGACACGGGCCAGACUCCUACGGGAGGCAGUAGUGGGGAAUUUUGGACAAUGGACGCAAGUCUGAUCCAGCCAUUCCGCGUGCAGGACUAAGGCCUUCGGGUUGUAAACUGCUUUUGUACAGAACGAAAAGGUCUCUAUUAAUACUAGGGGCUCAUGACGGUACUGUAAGAAUAAGCACCGGCUAACUACGUGCCAGCAGCCGCCGUAA